RNAcentral lists this ribosomal RNA (446 nucleotides) under uncultured bacterium. RNAcentral's name for it is "partial 16S ribosomal RNA". It matches the Rfam family "Bacterial small subunit ribosomal RNA", at positions 338 to 795 of the family's 1533-position model. The record is from RNAcentral.
CCUACGGGAGGCAGCAGUCGAGAAUCAUUCACAAUGGGGGAAACCCUGAUGGUGCGACGCCGCGUGGGGGAAUGAAGGUCUUCGGAUUGUAAACCCCUGUCAUGUGGGAGCAAAUUAAAAAGAUAGUACCACAAGAGGAAGAGACGGCUAACUCUGUGCCAGUAGCCGCGGUAAUACAGAGGUCUCAAGCGUUGUUCGGAAUCACUGGGCGUAAAGCGUGCGUAGGCUGUUUCGUAAGUCGUGUGUGAAAGGCGCGGGCUCAACCCGCGGACGGCAGAUGAUACUGCGAGACUAGAGUAAGGGAGGGGGAAGCGGAAUGCUCGGUGUAGCAGUGAAAUGCGUAGAUAUCGAGAGGAACACUCGUGGCGAAGGCGGGUUCCUGGACAUUAACUGACGCUGAGGCACGAAGGCGAGGGGAGCGAAAGGGAUUAGAUACCCGGGUAGUC